UAGAAAGUUUUGCCUGUUGGGGGAGCAAUACGGGAAAAGUGAGCCGAGGAGAGGACGCCGCAGAGAGGGCGAGCCUGCCGGUCGCGGCGGCAGGCGGGGGAGCCGAGCGGGGACCUGCGCGGAACCCCCGGGAGUAGCGGCUUUGCGGGCCGUGAUGCGUUUGCUGCGGGCUGCGGACACCUCGUCUCCGGGCCGUUCUCCCCCUUUGGGAUGUAUCCUGGACUUCUCGGGCCGCGAGAACUUGUUGACAAGUGAAAGCUUAGUAGAACCUCGGCUCUAUUUGUCUUUGUUUGUUUUUUACAAAGUGACUUCAUAUUUACUCUG
Molecule: long non-coding RNA, 324 nt
Organism: Lontra canadensis (Northern American river otter)
Lineage: Eukaryota; Metazoa; Chordata; Mammalia; Carnivora; Mustelidae
Exons: 2
Source: RefSeq, a predicted model, not a curated record